CGUAUCUUAUCUUACAGAAAAGGACGGUUGCGAUGGCCAAGAUCUCCUUGCCAUCGCCCAAGAUGCAGACGUACCAAGGCACUACAUCUCUAAUAUAAAAGAGCGUCUAAAGUUUCAGAAAUUGAUUGCAAUGAACGCUGAACCUAGAGAUGACACGAGUUCUUCGUCGCGUGCAUAAUCAAGUCCUUCGAGUAAGGCGUUUCAAACGUCGAUUGAUGAUUCAGAAAACAUCAGCGAUUAUGAAAAUUUAGAGGUGACAUCGGCACCGAAAGAAAAGAGUAAAUCGCCCAAGGAUCUCUGUUUUACGGACGAGGCGACAGAACUGAGCAUUGUCUAAGAAAACACACAAGCUGCCAGUUCGUCAGUUAAGAUGAGAAAUCUCGGGGAUAGCACCUACAAAAAUGGUUCCUCCUGGAUGGCUUUCAAAAUUCCAACCACCAUCGAGGUUCUCUGCCUCAGAAGAGUUGGAUAUCCAGAAGAGAUAUCUCACCAGCAGCCCAAAGUACUCUGGGCAGCAGUGAAUUGCAAAAAAAAAAUUGCAUAGUAUCCUUGUAUGGCUAGCAGGAUACUAGACUAAGUUGACUUGGAAACUGAAUGGACUGGUAUGGUUUAAAAAUCUAUUGAUUUGCCUCUUCUGCUUGCAGUGAAGAGAGACAAUUUUGUGGUGCUGAAUCUCUUGCCUUAAACUAAAAAGUUGCAAAAUAAUCA
This 708-nucleotide long non-coding RNA is filed under the name Pocillopora damicornis (cauliflower coral). RNAcentral describes it as "uncharacterized LOC113686728, transcript variant X2". Lineage: Eukaryota; Metazoa; Cnidaria; Anthozoa; Scleractinia; Pocilloporidae. The record is from RNAcentral.